GAUUAAGUAGCUUAUCUGUAGAGUAUAAUAUUGAAGAUAUUAAGGAGCUAGUCAUAGCCUAAAUCA
This 66-nucleotide transfer RNA is filed under the name Callochiton steinenii. RNAcentral describes it as "tRNA-Phe". Lineage: Eukaryota; Metazoa; Mollusca; Polyplacophora; Chitonida; Callochitonidae. The record is from RNAcentral.